UGAUAUGUGACUCAUGUGUCAUGUGUCGCCUGAGGAUGAGACCGCACCCUAUCAGGUAGUUGGUGGGGUAAUGGCCCACCAAGCCUAUAACGGGUACGGGCCCUGAGAGGGGGAGCCCGGAGAUGGGUACUGAGACAAGGACCCAGGCCCUACGGGGCGCAGCAGGCGCGAGACCUCUGCAAUGCGCGAAAGCGCGACAGGGCCACCCCGAGUGCUAGACGCUGAGUCUAGCUUUUCCCUAGUGUAGUAAGCUAAGGGAAUAAGCGGGGGGCAAGCCUGGUGUCAGCCGCCGCGGUAAUACCAGCUCCGCGAGUGGUCGGGACGAUUAUUGGGCCUAAAGCGUUCGUAGCCGGCCUAACAAGUCUCUGGUUAAACUUCAAGGCUUAACCUUGAGAUUGCUGGAGAUACUGUUAGGCUAGGAGGCGGGAGAGGUUGAGGGUACUUCACGGGUAGGGGCGAAAUCCUAUAAUCCGUGAAGGACCACCAGUGGCGAAGGCGCUCAACUGGGACGCGCUCGACGGUGAGGGACGAAAGCCAGGGGAGCAAAGGGGAUUAGAUACCCCCGUAGUCCUGGCUGUAAACGAUGCGGGCUAGGUGUUGGGUUGGCUUCGUGCCAACCCGGUGCCGCAGCGAAGGCGAUAAGCCCGCCGCCUGGGAAGUACGGCUGCAAGGCUGAAACUUAAAGGAAUUGGCGGG
RNAcentral lists this ribosomal RNA (696 nucleotides) under uncultured Thermoprotei archaeon. RNAcentral's name for it is "bacterial SSU rRNA". It matches the Rfam family "Archaeal small subunit ribosomal RNA", at positions 171 to 872 of the family's 1478-position model. Lineage: Archaea; Thermoproteati; Thermoproteota; Thermoprotei. The record is from RNAcentral.